Molecule: ribosomal RNA, 497 nt
Filed under: uncultured bacterium
Lineage: Bacteria
Description: partial 16S ribosomal RNA
Rfam family: Bacterial small subunit ribosomal RNA
Source: RNAcentral
GAUGAACGCUGGCGGCGUGCCUAAUACAUGCAAGUCGAGCGAACAGACGAGGAGCUUGCUCCUCGGACGUUAGCGGCGGACGGGUGAGUAACACGUGGAUAACGUACCUAUAAGACUGGGAUAACUUCGGGAAACCGGAGCUAAUACCGGAGAAGAUAUUGAAGCGCAGGGUUCAAUAGUGAAAGACGGUGUUGCUGGCACUUAUAGAUGGAUCCGCGCCGCAUUAGCUAGUUGGUCAGGUAAAGGCUUACCAAGGCAACGAUGCGUAGCCGAGCUGAGAGGGUGAUCGGCCACACUGGAACUGAGACACGGUCCAGACUCCUACGGGAGGCAGCAGUAGGGAAUCUUCCGCAAUGGGCGAAAGCCUGACGGAGCAACGCCGCGUGAGUGAUGAAGGUCUUCGGAUCGUAAAACUCUGUUAUUAGGGAAGAACAAAUGUGUAAGUAACUAUGCACGUCUUGACGGUACCUAAUCAGAAAGCCACGGCUAACUACGUG